RNAcentral lists this ribosomal RNA (931 nucleotides) under Arthrobacter pascens. Its description in RNAcentral is "bacterial SSU rRNA". It matches the Rfam family "Bacterial small subunit ribosomal RNA", at positions 274 to 1213 of the family's 1533-position model. The record is from RNAcentral. Lineage: Bacteria; Bacillati; Actinomycetota; Actinomycetes; Micrococcales; Micrococcaceae.
CGACGACGGGAAGCCGGCCUGAGAGGGUGACCGGCCCCACUGGGACUGAGACACGGCCCAGACUCCUACGGGAGGCAGCAGUGGGGAAUAUUGCACAAUGGGCGCAAGCCUGAUGCAGCGACGCCGCGUGAGGGAUGACGGCCUUCGGGUUGUAAACCUCUUUCAGUAGGGAAGAAGCCGUAAGGUGACGGUACCUGCAGAAGAAGCGCCGGCUAACUACGUGCCAGCAGCCGCGGUAAUACGUAGGGCGCAAGCGUUAUCCGGAAUUAUUGGGCGUAAAGAGCUCGUAGGCGGUUUGUCGCGUCUGCCGUGAAAGUCCGGGGCUCAACUCCGGAUCUGCGGUGGGUACGGGCAGACUAGAGUGAUGUAGGGGAGACUGGAAUUCCUGGUGUAGCGGUGAAAUGCGCAGAUAUCAGGAGGAACACCGAUGGCGAAGGCAGGUCUCUGGGCAUUAACUGACGCUGAGGAGCGAAAGCAUGGGGAGCGAACAGGAUUAGAUACCCUGGUAGUCCAUGCCGUAAACGUUGGGCACUAGGUGUGGGGGACAUUCCACGUUUUCCGCGCCGUAGCUAACGCAUUAAGUGCCCCGCCUGGGGAGUACGGCCGCAAGGCUAAAACUCAAAGGAAUUGACGGGGGCCCGCACAAGCGGCGGAGCAUGCGGAUUAAUUCGAUGCAACGCGAAGAACCUUACCAAGGCUUGACAUGAACCGGACCGCUGCAGAAAUGUGGUUUCCCCUUUGGGGCUGGUUUACAGGUGGUGCAUGGUUGUCGUCAGCUCGUGUCGUGAGAUGUUGGGUUAAGUCCCGCAACGAGCGCAACCCUCGUUCUAUGUUGCCAGCACGUGAUGGUGGGGACUCAUAGGAGACUGCCGGGGUCAACUCGGAGGAAGGUGGGGACGACGUCAAAUCAUCAUGCCCCUUAUGUCUUGGG